GUCUUUUUGAUAAAUAAUUUAAAGUCUAAUCUGCCCCCUGAAAUUAUUUUAAAGGGCUGCGGUAUUUUAACCGUACAAAGGUAGCAUAAUAAUUAGGUUUUUAAUUGAAAUCUAGAAUGAAUGAUUGGACGAGAUACUAGCUGUUUUAAAAUAAUUAAUUAAAAUUUAAUUUUUUAGUCAAAAAGCUAAAAUUAAAUUAAAAGACGAGAAGACCCUAUAAAUCUUUAUAAUAAAUUUAUUUCAAUAAGUUAUUUUAUUUAAAAUUACUUAUAUUUAAUAAUAAUUUAUUUUAUUGGGGUGAUAUAAAAAUUUAAAUAACUUUUUUAAUUUAAUUUCUUUAAUUAAAGAUUUUAAAAAUUAUGAUCUAUUAAUAGUAAUUCAAAGAAUAAGAUACUUUAGGGAUAACAGCGUAAUUUUAAUUUUAAGUUCUCAUUAAAAUUAAAGAUUGC
Molecule: ribosomal RNA, 449 nt
Filed under: Limnephilus externus
Lineage: Eukaryota; Metazoa; Arthropoda; Insecta; Trichoptera; Limnephilidae
Description: partial 16S ribosomal RNA
Source: RNAcentral